Molecule: ribosomal RNA, 591 nt
Filed under: uncultured bacterium
Lineage: Bacteria
Description: bacterial SSU rRNA
Rfam family: Bacterial small subunit ribosomal RNA (bases 1-510)
Source: RNAcentral
CCUACGGGAGGCAGCAGUAACGAAUCUUCCGCAAUGCGCGAAAGCGUGACGGGGCAAUGCCGCGUGUGGGAUGAAGCCCUUCGGGGUGUAAACUACUGUCAGGGUCUACCAACAACAUGAGGAGACCCAAAGGAAGAGCCGGCUAACUCUGUGCCAGCAGCCGCGGUAAUACAGAGGGCUCGAGCGUUAUUCGGAAUCACUGGGCUUAAAGCGUGCGUAGGCGGACUUGAAGGCGUUUUGUGAAAUCCCUCGGCUCAACCGAGGAACUGCUUGACGAACCACAAGUCUUGAGGUCGGUAGAGGCGGUCGGAACGAUAGGUGGAGCGGUGAAAUGCGUAGAUAUCUAUCGGAACGCCAAUGGUGUAGACAGGCCGCUGGGCCGCACCUGACGCUGAGGCACGAAAGCGUGGGGAUCAAACGGGAUUAGAUACCCCGGUAGUCCACGCCGUAAACGAUGCGCACUGUCGAGGAGUGACGCUUCUCGUCGUAGAAAUAGUAUAGUGCGCCGCCGUGGGUAGGUACGGUCGCGAGAUAAACUACAAGAAGUAGACGGCGUGAGACGUGCCGACGGACGACGACGAGGGAGGUAGG